This 19097-nucleotide long non-coding RNA is filed under the name Hordeum vulgare. Its description in RNAcentral is "long non-coding RNA (HVUL_LNC005922)". The stretch from base 17771 to 17906 matches the Rfam family "MIR1120/MIR1122 microRNA precursor family". Lineage: Eukaryota; Viridiplantae; Streptophyta; Magnoliopsida; Poales; Poaceae. The record is from RNAcentral.
UGUCGUUGAAAACCGUGUGCCGCCAGCGUGGAGGACAUGCGCAGCGAGUCUGGAAGUUGGUGAUGAAGGGGGCAAUGAGUCGGUGUUGGCCUCGCGGACGAGCUGACUAUUCUUCACGAUGUUGGCCUAUUUCUCUAAGGAGGCGGCGAGGGUGGACACAACCGCGACCUCGUUCCUGGCUUCUUGUUGAUGUCGACGGUUCUUUCUCCUCAACGAUUGUUCGACGCGCUCCAUGUGCGUCAGCACCUUCUUCUUCUUGGCCGACGCGGCCCUUUUCACCAACCGUGGCUCCCGACGAAGGCGAAGGAGGCAAGGUCGGUGAUGGCGUCGAGCAGGGGCGGAGCUGCAUGCAGGUACCCUGUUGCCUGUUUUUUACUGAUACUUUAACACUUGGAUCAAGCGUGUGCAUGAAUGCAUAAGGCUAAACUAGCAACGGUACAACAAGGUAGAUGUAGAUGCAGCUCCGCCCCUUGCAUCAAGAGUCGGCGCGUCGUCGUUCAUGGCACGCGCGGGGAAGGGUAGGCGGAAAAUUUUGGAUGGAAAUGGUGGUUGUGUGCCACCGACGGACGGGCUAGGAGGAGGAUCUCGUGUCCGCGCGGACGCAAAUCCGACCCAAAUUUAAACCUGAAAUGGGUUGCGGGUAGACAAAAAACAAAAAACAGACUGUGUUGGGCUGUGUUUUGUGUCCAAGACGGUCUAAAGGGACACGAGCAGACGAAAUGAAUCGUCCGGAGCUGCGCUUGCUCUCAAUUCUCGCAUCGCAAACAGGGCCUAAGAAAGAAAAACUCUGUUGCAUAAUUUUAUUUUAUUUCUGUACGUAGUUCCAACUCUGCCGUGGGUGUGUGUGUAUGUCUACUUCUCUAUACAACACGCAGGAGAAGUCUGUUGUGUGUGAUCUGUGAUGUACAGGUACAGCUGCCGCUGCUGUGACAUGUGGGCACGGAGUCGAGCGGCGCCGCCAUGGAUUUGCGUCUUCACUCGACGUAGGCGACGGUGCAGCCGUAGUUGAGCGGGCUCUCGUCCUCGAUCCUCACCACCCGGGGAUGGCUCCGGAGCACGUCCAGCGCGCACUCCUUCACCGCACCGGUGCCCAUGCCGUGGACCACGAACAGGACCUGGUACGGCCUGCACCCGUCGAUCGCCAUCUCCAGCUCGUGCGACGCCUCGCCCACCCGCAUCCCCCGCAGGUCCACCGUGUUCCUCGACGUCUGCACCGCCGGUGCAAACGACACACUGCCAGUAGUCGCCGUCCCCGCCGGAGACCGCUUCUGCGCUCGUCCCUGCCGCCGUAGAAGCAAAAUUAUUAACUUAGCAGAACAGGGCCUGGUGAUAGAUAUCACUAUCAGGGCAAGACUGAAACACCAAGGCUUGGUUGGUGAUAAUAGACAAUGUUGACCAUAUAACCAAUCAUACACUGCCUAGUGCACAUGAUAUGAUGGGAGUUGAGUUAAUUAAGGUGCAUGUAUGGAUCCACCAAUCUAGCUUUGCAUGGACCAAUGUGUGCCUGCUCCAGCCUAGCUUCCUACUCAACACACUGCUGCCCUGCAUCUACCCCAACUAAAGCCGAAAUAAUCAAUAGUACCAGCAAUGUCAGAUUCAAUGCAUCCUGUAGGGCUCGAGCUAACUAGGUUUCCUUCCUAACUUGCCAUACUAACAUGCCACGUGUAGGACAGGGAGCGUACCGACAUAAAGUAGGAUGGUGGAUAUGCCAUCACUGCGUGCGUGCGUGUGUGGCUCAAAACAUAACGGCCAGUUGGCUGGGAAACACAUGAUACCAGUCUCAUGGGGCAUCCGACGACCCAACUCGAUGGAAAGGAGCGACAUAUGCAAGCCUAAAGUUGAGUCCGUCCUUCAGAGAUACAAACUGGGUGUGCUAGCCUAGCAUCUGCAGUUUCUGAAACGAUUAGAACGAACCGGCAUUGAACACACCAUGUUUCUAUGCACAACAGCACAUGAUGGGACGACUGAUGAGUGUUAACCAGACCUGCUUUACGCAACCCAGACUACAGAUACUUGAAUAGGAUCUGAGAACAACCUAGAUGCCAGUGAGAACCUCAGCAAAAUAUCGCUGAUGCAUUUUAUCACGGACACAGCAGUGAAAGAGUAACCACGGUUAUAUCGACGAAAUAUAUGACAUGAACUAUGUCAAAAGCUACAUUAUAAGUGGUUUCUAACAUUGCAAACAGGUUUAUCAUGUUGCAAGCUAAAUGAUGAGUAAAAAAAAUUUAAAUGCGGCUGGAUAAUCUAUUAUAGAGCAGAUGCAAAGCAAACCUUUCCUUGUGCCGAGGAAGAAGUCGAUGUUUCCUUCCUGUCUCUCUGGGCCAACUUCAUCUUGUUAUUCUUGGCCCGGACCUUUAUUUUUCCAUACUGAACCAUGCAGCUCCCAUCUUCACUGAGUAUCUCGACAACGGUAGCCAUGCUUCCCCCUCCCAGUCCUUCCACAUACACUUUGUCUCCAAUUUGUGGAACAUAUGAACUCUUGUUUUCGUCGUCGCUGACAGCGAACUCAGUGGGCUGAUGAGCAGCAGCCAAUGAAGCCGUCGCAGCUUCUGCUUUCCUCAUUACUGAGUUGUACUGUUCAAGUUUUGAAUUCUUAAGUUGAACUUCAAAGUUCUUGAUUAGAAGGUCCAUCUGAGACUUUACAGACUUCAACUCUUGUUGCACCUUUUGAGACUCUCUGGCCUUCAAAGCAGCUACUCGGCUAUCUAGCUCGUCCGCUUCUAAGCGAAUCUUCAAAAUCAAAUUAAUAUCAAGUGAGGUUUCAACUGAAAGUAUGAGAAUCACUACUGUGGAAAUGUCAAACAAGAUAAUAACAGUAAAGAGAUGUACCUCGUUGUAAAGAUCCUCAACUUCUGAAAGGACAGAUGCUACUUCAUUUGCCUGGGACUCCAGAAGGUUUCUUUCGUCCAGCAGGGAGCCGUAAAGUAAACCUUGGCGUUCCUUUUGUUUGUCAGGCAAUAGUUUCUCAACCCAUUCUUGUGCACGAUCGAGUACUUUCUGAUCAAAGCCAAUUGACUUUGCAAUGCUCAAUGCAUUUGAAUUACCGGUGCUUCCCCACAAUACUCGAUAUGUUGGUUUCAGAGUUUCCAAACAAAAUUCCAUUGCAGCAUUCUCAAAUCGAUCAUCAACAGCUUUAAGACGGCUUAGAUCAGCAUAAUGGGUUGUCACGACGGCCAAGUUUAGUCUACUAGCAAGGUACUUCAAAAUGCUAGUUGAAAGGGAUACACCUUCUGAUGGGUCAGUACCGCUGCCAAUCUCAUCAAUAAGAACAAGAGAAUCGGUUGAUACAACUUGUGCAAUCUUGCGAAGACGUGAUAUGUUCCCGCUGAAGGUAGAGAGGCUAUUCUCCAGAGACUUCAAUCCAGAAAACAGUUUGCAUCAAUAAGCAUAUUUGUCCCGCAAGUGGUUAGAGAAACUCUCUUCAAAAGACAGAGACUACCUGGUGGUCACCAAUGUCUGCAAGGACCUGAUCAAACCAAGGAAGCCUAGGCCUUCCUUUUGCCGGGAAGAACAUUCCAGCUUUUGACAUAAGAGAGGCCAAUCCUAAGGUCUUCAUAGUAGCAGUUUUGCCACCAGUAUUAGGUCCGGAGAUCACAACUAUCCUAGUAUCAUUCUUCACAUGCAUGUCCAAUGGAACAGGCAUUGCAGGGACAGGUUGGUCUUCAGAUAGUUGUUCUUUCCCCACUUCGGUUGCUUCAGUGGUAGCCGAUUCUUCUGCAGUGCCAAGGGACUGUUCAAGGAGCAAAGGAUGUCGAAUUCCUUCAAUAAAUAGGGGGGCACUUGGGUCCGAUUCACUAGUGUUAUCCCUGUCACUGAAGGCAGGCCUCACGCCAUUUAUCCAUAGGGCAUAUGAACCUCUAGCACAAGCCAGGUCCAGCUCCAGUAUUUUCCCCAUCAAAUGCCUGAUCUUCGUCCGGGAAUCUGCUAUUCUUGAAGUUAGCAAGCCCAAUACUGCCAACUCCUCGGCUCUCUCAUCGCCUGACAGUUUGACUUCAGUGUUGUUCAGCUUGACGGCGUCCCUUGGCUCCAUAAAGUAGGUCGCGCCAGAGCCACUGGAACUCAGAACAAUUCCACCAGGCACCAAAUGCUUGUGUGAAGCUUUAACACCCACGCACAUUCUAGAGCGGCGCUUAGUGACCACAGGGCUAUCAGCCCCGCCUGCCUGAAAAAUCAUCACGGAUGUUUCUCUCAACAAAGCUUCUAGCAUAUCAACGUUCAUCCUCCUUUCCUUGCGGAUCGUUCCUAAUCUUUCGCUGGCCCGAUCAAGGACCAUAGAAAGAUUGGAGUCAAGGCAAAACUCAAUCAUUUUUACAAGCUCUGUUAAGAAGUCGCAGCCCUGCAGUAUAUCCAGAAGAGGGGAGUACCUGCAGAGAAUGAACCAACAAAAUAUCUUAAGAUCUUCUGCCGUUGGUAACAAUUAUGCAACCCAAUACUACUCAAGCUGAGUUGCAUGUCUGGGUAUAGUCCAAACAGGGCACUGCAUUCAAAUUUUAGCCCAAAAUUGCAUGCCACUUGCACAAAGGAACCUAAUCAGCUACAAGCUGAAACAAAACUGAUUCGAAUUCAUCAAUGUUGUGUUUCAAUGUUCACUACAUAUACACACAAAGUGCUGUAUAUCUACCAAAGUACCAAAUCACUAGUACAUUUUAGCACGAUUCCAUUCCCACCCAACAAUGAAGCUGAACCAACUCCCUUACCUCCCAUCUGGCAUCUCCUCGGCGAUGGUCUUCACUUGGUCGAACACCUCGCGCGCGGCCUGGAGGCUGCGGCCGACGCCGCAUAUCUCCCGAACGGCGAGCAGCCGGCCACNNNNNNNNNNNNNNNNNNNNNNNNNNNNNNNNNNNNNNNNNNNNNNNNNNNNNNNNNNNNNNNNNNNNNNNNNNNNNNNNNNNNNNNNNNNNNNNNNNNNNNNNNNNNNNNNNNNNNNNNNNNNNNNNNNNNNNNNNNNNNNNNNNNNNNNNNNNNNNNNNNNNNNNNNNNNNNNNNNNNNNNNNNNNNNNNNNNNNNNNNNNNNNNNNNNNNNNNNNNNNNNNNGCCGCCGGAAUGGUAGUGGCAGCGGGAGGUCUCCGCUUCCCGCCGGGGACGGAGGUGGGAGUUGGAACGCGCGGCAGCGUCUAGCUUGCCUUAUCCAAUGUCCAUACGCUUCCCAGUGGGCUUAACGCACAUGUGGAAUACGCCUUCUCCCAUCGUUUACGUCCACCCUCUGCGUUUGUGCCUGAGCCUCUGCAAAUUCUUAUACAGUAGGAAACAGAGUAUCUGAAUAAUCCAGGAGGAUCUUUUUUACAGCUGAAAAUUCAUAGGGAAGUCAUAAGAGUAGCAGAACUAUUCACAUUGCUUUCAUAGAUAUUAUCAGAAGAUAAAAAGCAGCAGAACAAUUCACAUUCCACAUUGUACAAUAGAAGGGGUACUGCAUCUGAAUAAUUCAGAGAUAUAACCUACACUGGUGCUGUCCAAUGAAUGGGUGGGUAUACAACAAUGGUGGGGGAUGGGAUGGAUGGAUGCAUGCGAUGGAUCCAAAUUAUACACAGGGAAACAACUACAGACCUGCACACAUACAUACUACACAAGCGCACACGAUCAUAUACGCUAGAAAUCGGCAACAACAUUCUAGCUCUACGGUUUUACUUGGCGAGGAUGGUGGCGCCGCAGGCGGCCCCAGCGUGCUUUCCUUCGGCGAACACUAGGUUCCCCCUCACGAAUGUCGACAGGACCUUGCCCGAUAGCUCAUUCCCAAGGUACGCCGAGAUGUUCUGCAGACAAAAUGCGCGGUCGGUUUGGUUUCUUUUUGAAUUUUGUAGGACCGUUGUAGCAGUGUAAACAUUCAUGUUUUUUUUGUAGUUGGGGAACUAACCCGGUGCUUGUGGUAUACGGCAUGGCUGUCGUCGAGAUGGAAUUGUGCCUCGGGAUUCCACACCACAAUGUCGGCAUGGUACCCCGGCAGAAUAGACCCCUGCGCAAACAAGCACAGCUCUUGAGUUUCAUGGUUUGAAUCCAAUCAUUUGCAACCAACAUUGCUUUUUUGAAAAUGUAAAUAUGCUAUGUACUGUUUCUGUUUUAUUUUUCUUUCGGAUAGUGCAACUCCCCCGAUCUCUGUGUUAUUAGAUGCACUGCUUACCUUGUUCUUCUGCCCCGCGAGCUCGGCGGGCUUCUCGCUCCACCAUGAGGCUAGCUGGUUCAGGGUGAUGCCAUACUUUUUCCCGUGUGACCAUGUUACAGGGAGGACAAACUGCAGAAAUUUGUGGGGAAAACACUGUGAAUUCGCAUCUUUUCUCUAUGUAUGAAGUAGUUUGGCAUUGUGAUUCUGCUGAAAAAUGUUCGUGCUUACACAAACUGACCUGCAGAGAUGAGAUACCUCCCCAUGCCUUCAUGAAGUUGCCUUCCUCCAUUAGCUUGAGAUCAGGAGUCGACGGCGAGUGGUCUGAGCUGAGCAUGUCGAUGUGCCCGUCCUGGCAUUCGUUCACGCAAAAGUUAGCCUAGCUAGAACUAUUAAUCACAAGAUUGCAGCGAGUCGGAAUCGGAAAGGAUGGGAAAUGGCAUUACAAGCAGAGCUUCCCAGAGGUUUUCCUUGUUGGCAGCAUCACGUAUGGGAGGAGAGCACUUGAAACGAGUGUCUCCGUCUGGAACUUCCUCAGCCGAAAAUGCGAGGUAAUGAGGACAGGUUUCUAUAGUGACUUUUGCGCCACUGUGUUUUGCAUCCUACAAACACAAAACAUAUCGGUCAAACGCCGACCAAGAGAACCGAGGAAAUGGUGGGUAAACUAGUAUGUCGCGUCAUACCUUUAGAAGCCUGAGGCUAGUUUUUGAAUCUGAGAGAUGAACAAUGUGAAGAUGAGCUCCUUCUGACCGACCCCCCACUUCAGUGUCUUUCAUGGCACGUUUCAAAUCUCUAACGGCUGAUUCCUCCCUGGGUAUAAGAGAAAACAGAAAUAAAUUAGUGAAUCUCAGUAAUUCAUUCAUCUGAAUUCUACACCCAAUAGAAAACAUGAAGCUAUCUCCAGCUCAGAGAGAGUAAAAUCCAGUUACAUUUGAGACAAUGCAAAUUACCAUGCAGGUGUUCUAGAUUUCAGGUAUGUUGCGUAUGAUCGAGGAUCCAAUUCACCAUCAAGCUCCUCAUCACUCGCGACAUCCGGUAUGCGUUCUGCAUGGAUAAGCAAGGGUCUCUUGUACUUUGCCAAUGUAACUAGGCCCUCCUACAGUGCGAAAAUAAUACGAUGCUCUUUUAGAAAGUUCAGUAAGCAGAAUUAUGAAAAUCUUGUCGAUGCCAAGAAAAACAUGACAGCAUUGAUAAAGCAGCGCACCUCGAUAUGAGUUGAAUUUGUCAUGGGGAAGUCGUUGAUACCAGAGGGGCACAUGAAAGACUAGAAUAAAACAAUAUUGUCAGUUUCUCCUUCUAGUGUCAAUUCUUUUUUUUAUAAAAGGAAGGAAGGAACAGAGGAAAACAAUAAUGUGAACCAGAAUUGAUGAGGCCUGUCUGCUAGUUUAGAAACAAACCUUAAGCCCUAACACUCCUGCAUUUAGCAGGCUCUCCAAUUUGCUUGGGUUCAAGGCGUUCUCGGGUACAAGGCCUCCCCAAAACCCUAUAUGAGAGUGCAAGCAAGUCAGAUAUGACAUAUGAGACAGAUUCAGACAAAGCAUUAGGGUUCAAAAACAAAGCAAAAAUGCUGAAAUCCUAUGCGCAUAGUAGAUAAAAUAAAUUCACUGUUCUGACUCUUGACAUUGCCAGUUUGGCAUGGUAGUGAACCGCUCCACUUACCGACAUCAACAUAUAGCUUAUCCCGAGCUGCAUCCACCUGAUAAUCAAGCAUGUUGAUGUUGGUGUUAGUAACAGAAAAGGCUGGGAGGAACCAUGUGCACGUUAUGGGCUAGUGUACUAAGUACUGAUGUAACUGCGUCCAAAGAGAAGCACUCUGAACCUUGAGUUUAAGAGUUUCUUCAGAGACCGUUGAGGGGAAGCUGUUGAGAGGCAUGUCCACCAACGUAGUUAUGCCACCUGAAAAUGGAGGAAUUAAUUUGCAGGACUAGUGUAUGCAGCAAGAGAGAAUACUUCUUAUUACCAAAUCCUGCCAAAUCAGUCGUAAUCCGGUAAUGUUGCUUGCUAUAUACUGUACAGUCUGUUAUUAGUUAACUUAAUGAUGGCUACUUAGCAUAUUAGGUCGCUUCUGAAUCCUGAUUAGCACAGACAGAUACAGGCCCAAGUGCUUUGGAGUGUGGCUCUGAGCUAGUAAUAAAUUAUAACGGAUUCACACCUGCGGCGGCGGCUCUUGUGCCGGUGGAGAAGCCCUCCCACUCCGCCCGCCCGGGCUCGUCGAGAUGCGCGUGCCUGAAGGUACAACGCCACCAUGAAACUCGAGGCGAUCGAGUAAUUUAUCUUGAGAGAUCAGACAGUGAGUGACGGUUUGUUUGGCUUACACGUCGAUGAGGCCGGGCAUGAUGACGGCGUCCCCGUAGUCGACGAGCGGGCGGCGGAGCACGAAGCUCCGGUAGUCCCCGACGGCGAUGGCGUUGAUCAGCCCCUCCUUCACCUCCACUGCACACACGCACAGACACGCCAAUCACGUAUCAGCUUUUGACUUUUUCUUUCUCGCGCAUUUGCUUCCACCAGAUAUGGACGGAAGCGCGGGGGUCAACCGUGAACGCCGGGACGACGGAGGCGCAACGGCAGGGGGGCGGAGUACCUGCGGCGGGGCCGACGCGGCCGAGCGCGACGACCCGCUGGCUGGCGAUCCAGAAGNNNNNNNNNNNNNNNNNNNNNNNNNNNNNNNNNNNNNNNNNNNNNNNNNNNNNNNNNNNNNNNNNNNNNNNNNNNNNNNNNNNNNNNNNNNNNNNNNNNNNNNNNNNNNNNNNNNNNNNNNNNNNNNNNNNNNNNNNNNNNNNNNNNNNNNNNNNNNNNNNNNNNNNNNNNNNNNNNNNNNNNNNNNNNNNNNNNNNNNNNNNNNNNNNNNNNNNNNNNNNNNNNNNNNNNNNNNNNNNNNNNNNNNNNNNNNNNNNNNNNNNNNNNNNNNNNNNNNNNNNNNGGCGACUUGCGUGCGCGGCCGAUGCGGACGCGCGGGGUUCGGUGCACCGCUCCGCGAACCCGGCGCACUGGACAGGGGAGAUUACCGGUUAUUGUGGGCCCGGGGUAGAGAGGGGGAGGGUUCGGUGGACCGGGUCCUGGGAGGGGCGUGGGGACGGAGUUUGUUCGGGUACGUCGUUGCUGGGCGCUGGCUGGAUCCCUCCAAGUGGCCGGGGCCCACGGGGAUUUGGAAUCUUUUUAUAAGUAAGCGUCAAAAAAAAGGCACACGAGAUUCCUUUCCGUUGGGAGAAAAAUAAAUGGGAGAUUCUGGUGCGGGCGGAGGUCAUGUGACGGCCCUUCAUUGGCUGCCCCUUCCCGGCACCUGGAGCCUUGGAGGCUUGGGAAGCGACGGCUCGUGCUGGCCACGUUCACCCGACCGAAAAUGGUUAAUCCAUUUUUCACGGAAAAGCUAAAAAUCCGUCGUCAAUUUUGUAGACAUGACAAAUUAAAACGUUUUUCAUGACAGUUUAUAAUAGUGUGAUAUAGUGAUGGAUUUGUCAUGCUCGUCAGCUAAGUUUGUCAUCCUCAACGAACACUACUUGGCAUUCAAAAACGUUGUUUGAUUUGCCAUGCUUGAAAAUCUAACAUUACCGGCAUAUUUUGGUCCGUUUCAUUAUGAAUGCAUUUUCGGUGCUUCUUUUGUGACAAGUUGUUUGUACAUUUUGUACUUGCACGACCUGAUAGAGGUAAAGUGUCUCUAUCUUUCGACGAGAUGAUGAUUAUCGUUUUGGUGUAGUAGACUUUAACAAUCUGACUACGAAUGUGUGAGGACGUCGCGUCUUAGCAAUCGUCAAUCCAACUCCGAGAGGUUAUUGACCACAUCGAAGUACGAUCAACCUGACCACGAGGUUAUGUUUCCUGCACGCAAACGAAGAACAAGCAAAAAACUAAGAUUGCAAUUUGGAUAUUACGAAUAUAAAAGAAAAGUUUUAUUGAUGAAAGUGGGGCGUUGUGACGCCUUUGUCUGGUCGUGGAACACAAACGAAGAACGCGAAGUUGCAGCUAUGGAGAACUUGUAAACUAAACAAAACCAAGUCUAAACGACGUCCUAAGGGCUGUAUAUAUGAAGGAAUAGAGGAGGAAUUUCGUGACCCCUUGGAGGAGGGGUUUGAAACCGACCCUAACUCAGUUUCACCAUGCAUACAGACUCUAAGAAUAGCCUAUAAUAUGGUAUUUCGAAAUUACAUGGGUCUAGCCCAAAAAUAAGGUGACGCGACACCUAUAAUAGCAUAUGGACGAAACUUAUAAAGUGACGUCUUGAAUAUUUCGUCCAAGCCUUCAUGCUCUCCUUAUGGUGGCUUUAAAGUGCGAAAAUCACAAGUGAAAGCUCCAUUGUUCUUUCCUGCGCGUGCACCUUCUUCUCCAUGCUUGAUCCCGCUGCAACGGAUAUCCUUCUUGUCCAUGUUAGGUCCUUCAUUCAUAAGUACAACAAAAGUAUCUAACUUAGGCAGCAUCAUAUGUUCAUAAACAUUAGAACGAUUUCCAAAAAACAAAAGUACCUGGUAAUUUGAUUGGCAUGCGUGAGCUCUAGUAACUGGUCCAGUAUGUAUAGCAGCUGGUGUUGUGGAUGUAACAAUGGUGUUGAUGUCCUCAUUACGAUCUCGACGAAUUGUUUAUGAGUAAAUUUAAAAAUCAUAUGGAAGCGCAUAGCAAAUUCGUACCAAUAGCUAUGUUAAUGCUAAAUUCAACACUCUUUUCGUUCGCAUCGGGCACGUCUUGCUCUAGCUGUCAGCUGUCUGUUGGGAUCUCUUGCUUCGGUUGUGGCGAGUAAUCGUCCUUAACUUGUGUGUCCUCAUGGUUGCACGCCUGCACCAUGGAUCAUGUUCAUCAUCGCCUUGUCGGUGGUUGUCGUCGAGCUUAAGGGUGGAAUUCCAUCAAACACUAACUAGGCAUUGCUGAACGAGGGCUCCUAGGACAAGCUGCGGACUACGACUUCGCGAACAUGUGUCCGUUUUGAGAUCGAUGGUGUACGAUGAAAGGCGAGCAGAGGAGGUAGGGUGUUACGGCGACUACGUCUUGGGCUGGCCAUUUAGAUGGUCGGCAUAGUAGUAUGAUGGCUUGUACUCGGGGCGGGGUUGUGAUUGCCCGGGAGCACCGCCCCGGCAGUCACAUGCGUAUGAGGAACUACAGCCGCGAAUGUUGCCUUAUUGGAAGUUACGGCUAUAAAGCUCCCCCCUUGUUUUUCCGUCGACCAGACCACGCACGAUGGGGUUGUACAAGUCUAAUGGGAUGACGAACAUCAUGAGGGCUCCGGUGAAUCCGUCGCGGUCGUGGUGAACGUCACAACGUGUGGGCGUAGGCGUCCGGGGUGAAAAGGGUGUGCUUUGGCGCGAGAACUAUGAAAACUAGAUGAUGCCCCGCACGUUGCUGCGGGAAACAUGAUAAACAUAUAUACAAAUAGAUGUCGAAAAACAAAAACUAUUGCUAAAAAAUAUUAGGAUUGCUCUCGUUUUAUAUUUUAAGAACAAUAACUCAUAUGAAGCAUUUGACAAAAGAUGCGUAAAAAAAGUGUAACAUAAUCUACAUGUAUUUGCUCUAAAAUAUAUACCGCUUAUGCCCAUAACAAAAAUUAGUGAAACAAUGUGUAGAUUAGUGCAUACAUUAUAACUUAUGAUCACAUGCAUGACUUGAUGAUGUGACAUGGUUACCUGAGGAAAAAUAAAUACUUAUGGCUAAAUGCAUGACUUGAUGAUGUACUCCCUCCGUUUGUAAAUAUAAGUAGUUUUAGAGAUUUCAUUAAAGGAAUACAUACAGAUGUACAUAGACAUAUUUUAGAACGUAGAUUCACUCAUUUUGCUUCGUAUGUAGUCCACUAGUACAAUCUCUAAAAAGACCUAUAUUUAGGAACAGAGGGAGUAGCAUGGUUGCAUGUGGAGGAACAAUAGGUAGUGGGUUUCAAUUAUUUAAGAAUAGAAGAUGUGCAGCCUAUAGGUGAGGUUUUGAGUGGGUUCGGGGUGUUGAAGUUUGACGUGGCGGACGUCCGGUCACUCCACAACUCCCUUGAUUUGGGGUCGGCUUGAGAGAUUUCGAAUGGCGAAAACCGAUCGAAUCCAAUUUCAUGAUACACGUCGAAGGCUUAAUAGUUGUUAGAUAAAACGAGAUCAACGAGACACGAGAGACACGGAUUUUUACGUGGAAACCCUUGCGGGAGAAAACCACGGACGCACGAAGGCGCAAUCACUAUGAGGGUGGAGUAUUACAAGCACGAGACGACAUGCCGUCUUUAGGUGCGACUACAUGGAGUAUAUAUGUGGGGCAAUACAUGAGAGUCCUUAGAGGACAAGUAAACGAGUUGUACUCGUACGCGUCGGUACCAACGCAAGGGCCCACACCGUUUGUACUACGUCUAGUCCAAUACGGUAGAAUUUGGAUCACAAUUUAACAAUCUCCACCUUGAGCAAAAUUCCCUCUAGUAGUCGAAGAAAGUGAAUAACUCCAUCCAAAUCAGCUUAAACACCUUGUGCGUCAAAGUCCAAAAGGACUAGUGAGAAAUACCAACUAAGCAUGAGCAAAGCUCAAACUUAUUGGUAGGAACUGACUUUGUCAUCAUAUCAGCUGGAUUAUCAUGAGUACUUAUCUUGCAUACCUUCAAAUCACCUUUAGCAACAACAUCUCGAACAUAGUGAAAUCUGACAUCAAUGUGUUUUGUUCUCUCGUGAUACAUUGGAUUCUUUGUAAGAUAUAUAGCACUUUGACUGUCAGAAAAUAUGGUAGGGCAAGAUGAAUCUCCACAAAGCUCAGUGUACAAACCUCUCAACCAGAUAGCUUCUUUGCAUGCCUCAGAAAUAGCCAUAUACUCGGCAUCAGUGGUGGAACAAGCCACAAUAGACUGCAAAGUUGCUCUCCAACUCACAGCACAACCACCAAUGGUGAAAACAUAACAUGUGAGCGAUCUUCUCUUAUCCAAAUCACCAGCAAAAUCAGAAUCAACAAAACCAACAAGUCCAUCUCCAGUUUUCCCAAACUGUAAAUACGCAUUAGAAGUACCUCGCAGGUAUUUGAAAAUCCACUGAACUGCAUUCCAAUGCUCUUUUCCAGGAUUAGCCAUGUAUCUACUAACAACACUCAGUGCAUAAGAUAAAUCCGGACGAGAACAAACCAUGACAUACAUAGUGAACCAACUGCACUCGAAUAGGGAACUCUAGACAUGUACUCAAUAUCUGCAUUUGACUCAGGACAUAAGGCUGAUGAUAAUUUGAAGUGUGUAGCUAAAGGAGUACUUACUGGCUUGGCAUUAUGCAUAUUAAAACGAUGAAGAACUUUAUCAAUAUAUCCCUUCUGACUGAGAUAUGAUUUUCCAGACGGUCUAUCUCUGGAUAUUUCCAUGCCAAGUAUUUUCUUUGCUGCACCCAAAUCCUUCAUCUCAAAUUCAUUACUCAAUUGCUUCUUUAGUUCAUCAAUCUCUGACAUGCUCUUUGCAGCAAUUAACAUCUCAUCAACAUAAAGGAGCAAAUAAAAAGCUGAACCAUUGACAGUUUUCAAAUAAACACAGCUAUCAUAAUUAGACUGAUUGAAACCUUGAGAGAGCAUAAAGGUGUCAAAUCUCUUGUACCACUGUCGAGGGGAUUGCUUCAAUCCAUAAAGAGAUUUCUUUAACUUACAGACAAGCUUUUCUUUUCCAGGAAUAACAAAACCUUCAGGUUGUUCCAUAUAAAUAUCCUCUUCUAAUUCUCCAUGUAAGAAUGCAGUUUUAACAUCCAAUUGUUCAAGCUCAAAAUCAUUCAUGGCAACAAUACUAAGUAAAGUGCGAAUAGAGCUAUGCUUCACAACAGGAGAAAAGACUUCUUAUAGUCAAUACCUGGAAUUUGGCUAUAACCUUUAGCAACCAACCUUGCUUUAUAUCUUGCCUCAUCAUUAGGAGAAACACCUUCCUUUAUUUUGAAAACCCACUUGCAACGAAUAGGUUUCUUCUCUCUAGGUAAUAUUACUAAAUCCCAAGUGCCAUUCUUUUCAAGUGAUUCCAUCUCAUCAUGCAUAGCAGUCAUCCACUUAUUACUAUCACCAGAAAUAAUAGCCUCGGAAUAUGAAGAAGGCUCAGCAUUACCUUCAAUUUCUUCUGCAACAGAUAAAGCAAAAGAAACAAUAUUGCACUCCUCAAUUAACCUCACAGGUGCAUUAAUACCCCGCCUAACUCUAUCACAUGCGAGAUUCCAACUGGGUGGAACAAUAGGCUGAUUUGGAGUGACAUGUUCAUCAUCAAAGACAGGUUCAUCAUGUGCAUCAGCAUUUUCCUUAUCAGAAGUAUCACCUGAGUCAAUAACAUGCUCCACCUGAACAGUAGGCUGCUGAACAGUAGGCUGCUGUUCACUCUCAAUUGGAACAUUAGUAGAUGCAACAUCAUGUAACAUAGCAGAUUCAUUAAAGAUAACAUUUCCUGCUAAUAACAAUCUUUUGUGUUUUAGGAUUCCACAAUUUAAAACCUUUAACACCAGAUUUGUAACCAAGAAAGAUGCACUUAACAGCCCUAGGCUCCAACUUCCCAUUAUCAACAUGAGCAUAAGCAGUGCAACAAAAAACUCUCAACUGUGAAUAAUCAGAGGUGAACCAGACCAUACCUCAAUUGGAGUUUUCUUAUUAAGAGGAAUAGAUGGUGAACGGUUGAUGAGAUAACAAGGAGUGGAAGCGUCCUCAGCCCAAAAACGCCUAUGCAAACCUGCACUGGGCAACAUGCAACGGGCUCUGGAAAUAAUGGUCCUGUUCAUACGCUCAGCAACACCGUUUUGUUGAGGAGUAUAAGCAACGGUGUGGUGUUUGACAAUGCCUUCAGACUUGCAAUAAUUCCCAAAUUGCUUAGAACAGAAUUCCAUACCAUUAUCAGUGUGAAGUAUUUUUACUUUCUUUUCAGUUUGUCUCUCAAUCAUAAUCUUCCACUCCUUAAAAGCUGAGAAAGCUUGCCAUUUAUGAUUCAAGAAAUAAGGCCAAACCUUUCUCGAAUAAUCAUCAAUAAUAGUCAACAUGUAACUAGCACCACCUAGUGACUUUUUCCGAGAUGGUCCCCAUAAAUCAGAAUGCACAUAAUCAAGAAUACCUUCAGUUGUAUGAGUCGAAGUGUUGAACUUCACCCUCUUGUGCUUGCCGAAGAUACAAUGCUCACAAAAUUUCAAUUUACCAGUUUGAUAUCCUUUAAGAAGACCUCUCUUAUUUAACUCUGCCAAACCAAGUUCACUCAUAUGUCCAAGACACAUAUGUCAAAGGUUAGAAGCAUCACAAUCAGAAUUCUUUGAAAUAACCGGAGUAGCGUUACGUGAAACGGUAGAACCUCGAAGAUAAUAAAGACCAUUGGUUGAACUUAAGUCACCUUUCAUCACAAUAAGAGAACCUUUGGUGACCUUCAAAACGCUAUCUCCACCUGAAUACUUGUACCCCUUUGCAUCAAGGACACUCAUAGAGAUAAGAUUUCUCUUCAUCUUCGGAAUAUACUGAACAUCUGUCAAAGUUCUGAUUGUGCCAUCAAACAUCUUGAUUCGAAUGAAACCUAUGCCUUCAAUCUUGCAUGGUGAAUUAUCAAAACCAAAACGGAACCAGCAGCAGUAGUAGAAUCAAAAGUAGUAAACCAAUCUCUAUGCGGGCACAUAUAAAAAGUACACGCAGUGUCAAGUACCCACUCAUCAUUGGUCUCAACACAUCCAGCAAUAACAACAAGAGCAUCAUCGAAACUAUCAUCACGAGCAACAUUAGCAGAAUUUUCACCUUGUUUGUUACCUUUCGGUUUAUACGUACCAUUCCUUUUUUUUCCUUGUUCUGCAACUUAAAACAUUUUGAGAUGUCAUGCCCGUCUCUCUUCCAAUAUCUGCAAGACUCCUUCUUGUCUCUGGAUUGCGACCAGCCCCUCUGGCCGUUCUUACUUUUGUUGGUGAGAUCUUUUGUCAUGCAAAUCCUUUCACCUUUAACCAUAGAGCGGUGGCAGUUUUCUCGCUCAAAACUUCCUGUAAAAUAUUAUCAUGCAAGUGGAGUAGAAUUUGUGACAAAGCUUUACGGUCCCUUCGUUUCUCCUCAGGAGUCCAAUCCUCAAUUCUAUUCUUUCCAAAACUGUCCAGUGCAUCAUCGUAGUCGGCCUGCGCCAACAACACCCACAUAUUGACUUGCCAUAGGGUAAACCUUGUGUCACGGUCCAGCAGCGGAAGAUCGUACUUCAUGGAUGUCAUGAGUAGAUAAAUCUGUGUACACAAAGUAGUACAAACCGGUAGAAAAAUUCUUGACAGAAUUAAUAUGCAGAUCAAAGAAUUAUUGGAAAAAUAGCACCUGGUAGUAUUGGGCAGUGGAUGUAGCAAUUGGAGAGAAUAGUGUAAUCUAAACUAGUACUAGUCCUUCACGUGAGAUUGACUGCUUCAACGUGAGAGAGAGAUUGAUGGGAUCCUGGUUCCUGUGCGUGCAAGCAGCAACAGGAACACAACAGGCAGCGGCGUAGAGUAUUACUCGAGCCUGGUGGCUUCACCUCGAGCAGCUUGGUGCGUGGAACAGCAGCAACAACCACGCGUUGGGAGCGUGAAGCAGCAGGAACAGCCUCGCGUCUCGUACCGAUCCAGACACGACGGAUCGGAUAAGACUGUGCAGAAACAACGCAGCAACCGCGGCAGCGAUUUAACAGCGGCGGCCUGCAGCGACUCCCUAUCGAACUCGGCUCCGUAAUCGUUCUGGCUUCGGAUCGCCGGAUCGCUUCAGCGGCGGCUCACACGAAGCCGAACCUAGCUCUCGUCUCAAAUCUCGUAUCUACGAACCUUAGCUAUGUAUAUCACUUGUUAGAUAAAACGAGAUCAACGAGACACGAAAGACAUAAAUUUUUGCGUGGAAACCCUUGCGGGAGAAAACCACGGACGCACGAAUGCGCAAUCACUAUAAGGAUGGAGUAUUACAAGCACGAGAUGACAUGCCAUCUUUAGAUGCGACUACAUAGAGUAUUUAUGAGGGGCAAUACAUGAGAGUCCUUGAAGAACAAGUAAACGAGUUGUACUCGUACGCGUCGGUACCAACGCAAAGGCCCACACCGUUUAUACUACGUUUAAUCUAAUACGGUAGAAUUUGGAUCACAAUUUAACAAUAGUGUCUGAACUAUCUGGUUCAAAUAUUUAAAGAGUUUUGGGACCGAACAACGUCCUGGUGAUCCGUGUUUGUAGAUGUCCCAAGCCAUAUGUGUGAUAUGUUAGGUCUAAAGGCAAUUACUGGUGUUCGUUGUACUGUCAUGAUUAAAGAGCGGACACUUGUAUGUGACAGUACAGGUGGUCUAGAUUGUGUUGUGAGUAGUUAGUUUUAGCGUGUUUUGGAUGGUGUUAGUGUGCCAGCUAUAGAUCUACGAUUGUCAGCAUCUUGUGACCUUGUGUUCUCUUCUAUAAAAAAAUAUGGCAUAUUAUUGGCAUAUCUCUAAAACAUAGAUCAGAAGUUUUCCAAAGAAAUAAAAUUCGAAAGGCUAUGCCAACAGCUGGGAUUGCGUCCACCAUCUGCGGGCAAAAUGAACCAAAAUUUGCCGAGAGGAAAAAAUAUGGACGAAACUAUUUCACACAUGUCGUUAUGCUGUAUAGCAUAACGUUAUGCUAUACAGCAUAAUGUUCAAGACAUAGAUAUUAUGCCAUACGGGAUAGCUCCUAACAUGUAAGCCCUAUGUUGCACGGUACAACACGCUUGAGGCAUGGGCGCUACACCGUGUAACAUAGGGCCACAUGACAGGAGCGCUACACCGUGUAGCAUAGCGUCUAUGUGUAUUAGACCGUGUAGUAUAGCACCUAUAUACUCCUUCCGAUCUAUAAUUCUUGCCUUAGCUUUGUUUAAAAAUGUAUGUAUCUAAAUACUAAAAAUUAACUAGAUACAUUUAUAUCUAAAUAAAUCUAAGAUAAGAAUUUUGAAACGGAAGGAGUAUUAGAUAUACAAGAAAGAGUAAGAUUUUGUGAAAUAAUUUCACUAUAAGUUUAGUUUUUAAAUUAGUUUUGUCUUUAAGUUAUUUUUGUCCAUUUUGCCUCGUUCGUGCGGGGCAGCUGACCAGUGAGGGAGAUAGAGGAUGGCCCAACCUGAAAUAUUUUCAAUGGCUUUAUAUCAUUAAAAAAAUGUUAAAAAUAUUAUGAAAAAAAUAUUUUUUAUGAACGGUUUUACUAUUGGACUAUCCUGACCCACUAGACUAGAUCCGGUACUGCAGCUGACCACCACACCAUGGAUGCAGCGCCCAAUCGGGUCAGCUAGACCGGGUGUGCUGGGAGACUCCGUGAUGGGCCAGAGUCUGUUUGGAUGCGUGACUGGGAGGGGAUUACCUAUAGGAGCCGCAGAAAUAGGCCCGAGAUUCCUUUUUCUGUCCUUUAUUAUUUUAUAUAAGAGAAAUACGUAAAUCGGAGAUUCUCUUGGAGUGAUGCGUGAUGACUGAUGCGGAUGGGCAGCCAGGAAAGGUGACGGCUCACGACUGGCUACUCGGCCUACGAGACUCAACGCAACGCAGGGAUGGGCACUUCACCUUGCCAGAUUCAGCGUACGUACCAGCCGGCGGCUGUGCUGAAUCUUUGCCACUCUACGUCACCGAUGAAAAUUGACGCCGGAAUUCUUCUCUUCUCCGGCCACCGCACGCCGUCUCCCCUCGCCCCUCUUUCUGUCUUCUCCGGCCACCGCACGCCGUCUCCCCUCGCCCCUCUUUCUGUCUCCCUCGUCCGUUCGUUCAUGGGUCAACUCCAUCAUUUUAUCUUCUUUUUCUAGCCCGACCGCAACCUAUAUUCAUGUUGAUCAUUUGUUUCUUCUUUCUUCUUCCUUGCCCUUCUUUAUUCGGUUUUCUUGCCGGUCGUCCUUCUACCGAUGGAUGUCGCGGUCAAAUCACAGACGGCACAUGAGGCGGAGAGAAGCAACAGCUCGUACUGUGCUAGAUUUGUCGAACCCAGAUGUCCAAUGCAAUGUUUGUACUAUUAUUAUGAAUACUUUUUUGUAUUUUUCUGCACAAGUAUUUUUGUAAUUUAUAUCAUAAAUGAGCAGGACACAUUCAGACUACUCGCAGUGUUUAGGCCAAAUUCAGCACUGCCUCCCCCUUUUUUGCGCCAUUUUGGCCGGUUGGGAAGGCUGAGGUCUAGCAGGGGAAGAA